Long non-coding RNA from Sorex fumeus (smoky shrew), 195 nucleotides. RefSeq lists it as uncharacterized. The record is from RefSeq and is a predicted model, not a curated record. NCBI's taxonomy places the organism in Eukaryota, Metazoa, Chordata, Mammalia, Eulipotyphla, Soricidae. The transcript has 3 exons.
GCGGGAGGAAAGUUUGCAGGAUGCCCAUCGCGCAGCUGCUGGAGCUAUGGAAGAAGAUCGAGGUGGAGCCCAUGGAGAUCGAGACUCCCGAGGAGGGCCUCAGCGUGGACGUGGAGCCCAUGCCCGAGGAUGCCCCGGAAGAGGCUCAGUGUGACCCGGAGUCGCCCGAGGCCCAGACGGCUGCGGCGGAACAGG